RNAcentral lists this ribosomal RNA (236 nucleotides) under uncultured bacterium. RNAcentral's name for it is "partial 16S ribosomal RNA". It matches the Rfam family "Bacterial small subunit ribosomal RNA", at positions 1177 to 1413 of the family's 1533-position model. The record is from RNAcentral.
GGAUGACGUCAAGUCAGCAUGGCCCUUAUGCCUUGGGCUACACACACGCUACAAUGGGUGGUACAGCAGGUAGCAAUAGGGUAACCUGGAGCUAAUCCCUAAAACCAUCCUCAGUUCGGAUUGUAGGCUGAAACUCGCCUGCAUGAAGCUGGAGUUGCUAGUAAACGCGUAUCAGCACGGCGCGUUGAAUACGUUCUCGGGCCUUGUACACACCGCCCGUGGGGCGGGGGCGGCGG